This 506-nucleotide ribosomal RNA is filed under the name uncultured Pseudomonadota bacterium. Its description in RNAcentral is "bacterial SSU rRNA". It matches the Rfam family "Bacterial small subunit ribosomal RNA", at positions 397 to 896 of the family's 1533-position model. Lineage: Bacteria; Pseudomonadati; Pseudomonadota. The record is from RNAcentral.
CCGCGUGUGUGAAGAAGGCCUUCGGGUUGUAAAGCACUUUGAUCUGGGAAGAAAAAGCCUUGGCUAACAUCCAAUGCCUUGACGGUACCAGAGGAACAAGCACCGGCUAACUCUGUGCCAGCAGCCGCGGUAAUACAGAGGGUGCUAGCGUUAAUCGGAUUUACUGGGCGUAAAGCGUGUGUAGGCGGUUCGCUAAGUCGGAUGUGAAAGCCCUGGGCUCAACCUGGGAAUUGCAUUCGAUACUGGCGAGCUAGAGUACGGUAGAGGGCGGCGGAAUUCCGGGUGUAGCGGUGAAAUGCGUAGAUAUCCGGAGGAACACCGAUGGCGAAGGCAACCGCCUGGGCCUGUACUGACGCUGAGACACGAAAGCGUGGGGAGCAAACAGGAUUAGAUACCCUGGUAGUCCACGCCGUAAACGAUGAGAACUUGACGUCGGUUUGCUCUGCGAAUCGGUGUCGUAGCUAACGCGAUAAGUUCUCCGCCUGGGGAGUACGGCCGCAAGGUUG